Molecule: ribosomal RNA, 253 nt
Filed under: uncultured bacterium
Lineage: Bacteria
Description: partial 16S ribosomal RNA
Rfam family: Bacterial small subunit ribosomal RNA
Source: RNAcentral
UACGAAGGGUGCAAACGUUGCUCGGAAUUAUUGGGCGUAAAGCGCACGUAGGCGGCUUGGCAAGUCGGAUGUGAAAUCCCUCGGCUCAACCAAGGAAGUGCAUCCGAAACUGCUGAGCUUGAGUACGAAAGAGGAUCGCGGAAUUCCCGGUGUAGAGGUGAAAUUCGUAGAUAUCGGGAGGAACACCAGUGGCGAAGGCGGCGAUCUGGGUCGAUACUGACGCUGAGGUGCGAAAGCGUGGGGAGCAAACGGG